This 77-nucleotide transfer RNA is filed under the name Escherichia coli. Its description in RNAcentral is "tRNA-Met". It matches the Rfam family "tRNA". From Rfam's summary of the family: Transfer RNA (tRNA) molecules are approximately 80 nucleotides in length. Their secondary structure includes four short double-helical elements and three loops (D, anti-codon, and T loops). The record is from RNAcentral. Lineage: Bacteria; Pseudomonadati; Pseudomonadota; Gammaproteobacteria; Enterobacterales; Enterobacteriaceae. RNAcentral also lists the same sequence under 3 other names.
CGCGGGGUGGAGCAGCCUGGUCGCUCGUCGGGCUCAUAACCCGAAGGUCGUCGGUUCAAAUCCGGCCCCCGCAACCA